RNAcentral lists this ribosomal RNA (465 nucleotides) under uncultured bacterium. RNAcentral's name for it is "partial 16S ribosomal RNA". It matches the Rfam family "Bacterial small subunit ribosomal RNA", at positions 339 to 795 of the family's 1533-position model. The record is from RNAcentral.
CUACGGGGGGCUGCAGUGAGGAAUCUUGCGCAAUGGGGGAAACCCUGACGCAGCGACGCCGCGUGGGUGAUGAAGGCCUUCGGGUCGUAAAGCCCUGUCGAGAGGGAAGAAUUGCAUUUAGGUUAAUAGCCUAAUUGUUUGACGGUACCUCCAAAGGAAGCACCGGCUAACUCCGUGCCAGCAGCCGCGGUAAUACGGAGGGUGCAAGCGUUGUUCGGAAUCACUGGGCGUAAAGGGCGUGUAGGCGGCUGAGUAAGUCAGGUGUGAAAUCCCUCGGCUCAACCGAGGAAGUGCAUUUGAUACUGCUCAUCUUGAGUACUGGAGAGGGAGAUGGAAUUCCCGGUGUAGAGGUGAAAUUCGUAGAUAUCGGGAGGAACACCAGUGGCGAAGGCGAUCUCCUGGACAGAUACUGACGCUAAGGCGCGAAAGCGUGGGGAGCAAACAGGAUUAGAUACCCUAGUAGUC